AUUGAACGCUGGCGGAAUGCUUUACACGUGCAAGUCGAACGGCAGCACGGACUUCGGUCUGGUGGCGAGUGGCGAACGGGUGAGUAAUGUAUCGGAACGUGCCCAGUCGUGGGGGAUAACGUAGUGAAAAUUACGCUAAUACCGCAUACGAUCUAUGGAUGAAAGCGGGGGAUCGCAAGACCUCGCGCGAUGUGAGCGGCCGAUAUCAGAUUAGGUAGUUGGUGGGGUAAAGGCCCACCAAGCCAACGAUCUGUAGCUGGUCUGAGAGGACGACCAGCCACACUGGAACUGAGACACGGUCCAGACUCCUACGGGAGGCAGCAGUGGGGAAUUUUGGACAAUGGGCGAAAGCCUGAUCCAGCCAUUCCGCGUGCAGGAUGAAGGCCCUCGGGUUGUAAACUGCUUUUGUACAGAACGAAAAGGUUUCUACUAAUACUAGGAGCUCAUGACGGUACUGUAAGAAUUAGCACCGGCUAACUACGUGCCAGCCGCCGCCGUAA
Molecule: ribosomal RNA, 500 nt
Filed under: uncultured bacterium
Lineage: Bacteria
Description: partial 16S ribosomal RNA
Rfam family: Bacterial small subunit ribosomal RNA
Source: RNAcentral